GCGCACGGCUGCAGGCGUUCUGCCGGGCAAGAACCUCCCGGUGCGCCCGGAGCUGCUCCAAGUUGAGAGUGGCGCAUAACAUGGGGCUGCAGUUGAGGCUUGAAGGGCCAAGGAGUGCCAACUUACCCUGAUUUACCACUUACCGCUGCUUUUCAGCAGUUUGGCUGUGAUUUGUUUAGGUGCUGCUUUUUCCUUAUUUAUUCUCCUUGUGGGUGCGUUAAGGUUCUUGGUUCUCCUCCCACCCCCAACUCUCCCCUGACACACAACGUGGAUGUGGAACUUCUUGAUUCUAUGAGUUGAGAUCUUCAAUCAAUUUUGGGUUGCAGAAAAGGAAGAAGAAUCAGCAGAGAGCAUUUGUGGCCAGCAAAGCUUAAAAUAUUUCCUAACCGAUCCUUUGCAAAAAAAGUUCACCCACUCCUGUAGUCAGCAGCUCCCCUACUGUGCGCAGUCAGUGUGCCAUCUCAGACUAGCAAAGUUGUCCAGAGAGGAAAGACAGGCCAAAAUAGUUCAGUAUGCUGUCUUACUGGGAGGACAACAGCUUAAGCCACAAAGCCCUGAGUUUGACCCUAGAACUCUGUGGCUACUGGUGACUCAUCUUGAAAAUUAUCAGAUUGAAUCUUCUCUACCGGUUUGAUAACAACUGAUGAGUGGAAAAAGAACGCCAAUCAAAUGUGCAUGCUUAAUAAGCAGCCUCCUUAUUCCCCUCUGCAGAUUUGUGCUUGGAUCAUCUACACUUCCCUGAAUGUUGAAGAAGAUAUGCUAUCCAUGCAAUCCUUGUCGACUGCUUGAUUAAAAAGUGGAUAAACUGUCUUCAGGCCCUUGGAGUAUGGUGUCUGUGUGAAGAAGGGAAUGAGGCAGAAGUAGCAGUCAGUGGUGGCUGAAGUAGGAGAAAGUGCUUGCUAAUGAAAUCUUGAUUUUUCUGUGGCUUUUCUGUGCAAUUGGGUGGCUAAGUAGGAAAGCCAUUGGAGCUUCACUGUAUCAAUUCUGCCUUUCUUGUUUUUUGGAACUCCAAUUCACCAAGGCUCCCUGCCACCCUAUCCAUCUAUAACUUUUCAUCACUUUUUCCUCAAAGUAAGAAGUGUGUCCCAGAAAAUGUGCCUUUGUGACUCAGCAACAUUUCAAAUCCAUCUGAGCCUUCCCAGCGUUCCAAAAGAAAUACUGAUUUGAAUUCAGCUGCUUAAAAAACCAGUCUCUAAGCAGACAGCUUGAAACUUCCUUACAGCAAUAGUUUAGGCUUUGGAGGGGAAAUUGGUUUGUUUUUAAUUGUUUUAAUUUUUCAUUCAAUUCAUUUGCCGCCUGAUUAUAUAUGAUCUUUUGAGCCCAAUACUCUGCUAAAUUAACCUUGACUUUCUUUCUCUCUUUCUCUCUCUCUCCUUCUCUCUUUCUUCCUUUCUUUCUUUCUUUUUGACAGAGCCUUGCUCUGUCGCCCAGGCUGGAAUGCAGUGGCACAAUCUCAGCUCACUGUAAACUCCGCCUCCAAAGUUCAAGCAAUUCUCCUGCCUCAGCCUCCUGUGUAGCUGGGAUUACACACGCCAGCCACCAUGCCUGGCUAAUUUUUGUAUUUUUAGUAAAGAUGGAGUUUCACCCUCUUGGCCAAGCUGGUCUCGAACUCCUGACCUCAACCUUGGCCUCUCAAAGUGCUGGGAUUACAAGCAUGAGCCACCAUGCCUGGCCUUACCUUGAUUUUUUUUUUUUGAGACAGAGUCUCACUCUGUUGCUCAGGCUGGAGUGUAGUGGCUCGAUCUUGGCUCACUGCAACCUCCAUCUCCCGGGUUCAAGAGAUUCUCCUGCCUCAGCCUCCCAAGUAGCUGGGACUACAGGUGUGGGCCACCACGCCUAGCUAAUUUUUUAUAUGUUUACUAGAGACAGGGUUUCACCAUGUUGGGCAGGCUGGUCUUGAACUCCUGACCUCAGGUGAUUCACCUGCCUCGGCCUCCCAAAAUGCUGGGAUUACAGGUGUGAGCCACCACACCCGGCCCCUACCUUUGAUUUUUAAGUCAAGAGGGAACAAGUCGAAAUUUCUAUUCAGGUAAACUGUAUACCUUUGGACACUGAAUCACUUUUAGAACCCCAGUAAAAAUCAUGUAUGAAUGACCCACAAUUUCACUCCAACAGGAAGGUGUGUAUAUGUGCACAAAAACAUUAGAUUGUUCACACCGGUGCUAUUCAUAAUAGUCAAAAACUGGAAACAACUCAAACAUCCAUCAACUGUAGAAUGGAUAAAUAAAUCAUGAUAUAUUCAUACCAUGGAACAUAACAGUGACAAUAAAUGAACCACUGCUACACACAACAGAUAUGAAUUUCACAAACAGAAUGCUGAGCAACAGAAGCCAAACACAGAAGGAUACACAUUUAUAAAUCCAUUUGUAUGAAGUUCAUAAACAGACAAAAUUAGUCAGUGGAGAUUAUUCUCAUAGAAGUCUGAAGGGUAGUUGUCUUUAGGGAGGGGGAUAUAGUGACUGAGGUGGGUAUAAGGGGUUUCUGGGGUUUGGUGAUGGUACACCAGCAUAUUCACUCUGAAAACUCAUUGAGCUGUGCAAUAAUGAUUUUUCAAACUUUUAUAUGUGUAUG
RNAcentral lists this long non-coding RNA (2571 nucleotides) under Homo sapiens (human). Its description in RNAcentral is "HSALNT0310062". Lineage: Eukaryota; Metazoa; Chordata; Mammalia; Primates; Hominidae. The record is from RNAcentral.